CCCACCUGCCCUGCUCCCCUGGCUGCUGCCCACCCUCAAUUCCCGUCCCAGCCUGCAGGCCGGCGGGGGGCGCAGAGUCUGGGGGCCCAGGACCCCGCCGCCGGAGCCGAGCCGGUGCCCGGAGACCCGGCGGGAAGGGCGAGCCGGAGCGGGGCUCGAGGCCGGAGCCCGUCGGAGCCAGGGAGACCCGGAGAGCGGAGGGAAAGAGUGGAGUGCCAGGCGCGCGCUGGCCGGGCCCGGCGGACGGGUGCAGUGGUUUCCAAAUCCUUAGAGCGGCGCCCCGUCACUGUCACUGCAGCUUUUCACCCUAGAGCUGUGCCCUGGGACCGGAGACCCCGAGCUGGGAGAUCGUCUGAGAGGAUAUAGACCCGCAGCUAACUGGAUUUGAUUUAUAAGAAGGAAAUCUACAGUCAAUGGCCACUCUGCCACAUUGCUACUAUGGAAAACAG
Molecule: long non-coding RNA, 449 nt
Filed under: Heterocephalus glaber (naked mole-rat)
Lineage: Eukaryota; Metazoa; Chordata; Mammalia; Rodentia; Bathyergidae
Description: lncRNA (ENSHGLG00000034736.1)
Source: RNAcentral